This 386-nucleotide ribosomal RNA is filed under the name uncultured bacterium. RNAcentral describes it as "bacterial SSU rRNA". It matches the Rfam family "Bacterial small subunit ribosomal RNA", at positions 29 to 416 of the family's 1533-position model. The record is from RNAcentral.
AUUGAACGCUGGCGGCGUGCCUAACACACGCAAGUCGAGCGGUAACAGGUGUAGCAAUACAUGCUGACGAGCGGCGGACGGGUGAGUAACGCUUGGGAAUCUGCCUAUUAGUGGGGGACAACCCGGGGAAACUCGGGCUAAUACCGCAUACGCACUACGGUGGAAAGCCGGGGACCGCAAGGCCUGGCGCUAACAGAUGAGCCCAAGUCGGAUUAGCUAGUUGGUAGGUAACGGCCACCAAGGCGACGAUCCGUAACUGGUCUGAGAGGACGACCAGUCACACCGGAACUGAGACACGGUCCGGACUCCUACGGGAGGCAGCAGUGGGGAAUAUUGGACAAUGGGCGAAAGCCUGAUCCAGCGACGCCGCGUGGGUGAAGAAGGCC